GACGAACGCUGGCGGCGUGCUUAACACACGCAAGUCGAACGGAAAGGCCCUGCUUUUGUGGGGUGCUCGAGUGGCGAACGGGUGAGUAACACGUGAGUAACCUGCCCUUGACUUUGGGAUAACUUCAGGAAACUGGGGCUAAUACCGGAUAGGAGCUCCUGCUGCAUGGUGUGGGUUGGAAAGUUUCGGCGGUUGGGGAUGGACUCGCGGCUUAUCAGCUUGUUGGUGGGGUAGUGGCUUACCAAGGCUUUGACGGGUAGCCGGCCUGAGAGGGUGACCGGCGACAUUGGGACUGAGAUACGGCCCAGACUCCUACGGGAGGCAGCAGUGGGGAAUAUUGCACAAUGGGCGGAAGCCUGAUGCAGCAACGCCGCGUGCGGGAUGACGGCCUUCGGGUUGUAAACCGCUUUCGCCUGUGACGAAGCGUGAGUGACGGUAAUGGGUAAAGAAGCACCGGCUAACUACGUG
Molecule: ribosomal RNA, 468 nt
Filed under: uncultured bacterium
Lineage: Bacteria
Description: partial 16S ribosomal RNA
Rfam family: Bacterial small subunit ribosomal RNA
Source: RNAcentral